GAUGAACGCUGGCGGCGUGCCUAAUACAUGCAAGUCGAGCGAACGGACGAGAAGCUUGCUUCUCUGAUGUUAGCGGCGGACGGGUGAGUAACACGUGGAUAACCUACCUAUAAGACUGGGAUAACUUCGGGAAACCGGAGCUAAUACCGGAUGAUAUUUUGAACCGCAUGGUUCAAAAGUGAAAGACGGUCUUGGUGUCACUUAUAGAUGGAUCCGGGCUGCAUUAGAUAGUUGGUAAGGUAACGGCUUACCAGGGCGACGAGGCAUAGCCGACCGGAGAGGGUGGUCGGCCACCCUGGAGCUGGACCAGGGUCCUGGCGCCUGCGAGAGGCACCAGUGUGGAAUGUUCCGCAACGGUGGAAAGCCUUGCGCAGCAAGCCCGAGUGUGUGACGAAGGCGUUGGGUGCGGAAAACUCGGUUAUGAGGGAAGAACAGAUGUGGAAGUAGAUGUACCCUUCUUGACGGUACCUAAUCAAAAAGCAACGGCUAACUACGUG
RNAcentral lists this ribosomal RNA (497 nucleotides) under uncultured bacterium. Its description in RNAcentral is "partial 16S ribosomal RNA". It matches the Rfam family "Bacterial small subunit ribosomal RNA", at positions 28 to 507 of the family's 1533-position model. The record is from RNAcentral.